This is a long non-coding RNA of Arabidopsis thaliana (thale cress), 212 nucleotides long. RefSeq annotates it as other RNA. The transcript has a single exon. NCBI's taxonomy places the organism in Eukaryota, Viridiplantae, Streptophyta, Magnoliopsida, Brassicales, Brassicaceae. The record is from RefSeq.
GAAGGGGUAAUUUGGUGCGUGGCGGCUGAAGCAGCAGCGGCUCGUCACCGUUCAAUUUGGUUUUGUGAUUAUGACUGUGGUCCCCACAUGCGUCUUUUAUGGGUCCCGCACGAUUCCCCUCGGGAAGGUCUUCUACAAAUCUACGACAGCGUAAUUUUUUGCGAUUUUUGUUUUUAAUUUUUCAAAAAUAUAUAAACCGACGUCGUUUCUUG